This is a long non-coding RNA of Astyanax mexicanus (Mexican tetra), 842 nucleotides long. RefSeq lists it as uncharacterized. The transcript has 3 exons. NCBI's taxonomy places the organism in Eukaryota, Metazoa, Chordata, Actinopteri, Characiformes, Acestrorhamphidae. The record is from RefSeq and is a predicted model, not a curated record.
AAAAGAAAAAAAUAAAAUGAACUGAAAUUACAGAUUGAAUACUCUCAUUUUCGUGUUUGUUAAUUUAUUUAUAAUUUAUAAGUUUCAUCUACAGCAGUUUAACAGCGGGUGGUGUUGUGCCGUUUCUGCUCGCAACGGGGAGCCGGUGUUCUGCGGGGAUCAGAUAUCGGCAGUGCUGCAGCACCUAGUAGUCUGCAGAAUUACUUAUAUUUACAGCGCUCGAAUUAGCCGAAAUAACGACAGAAAACCCUGAGGAACCUCAGGUUUGGCACGUCACGUGGUUAAUAUACCCUCACUAUUUUACAAUACCGUCACCAUAUUUAAAUACCGUGGUAUACCGAAAUACCGUCAUACCGCCCAACCCUAUUAGAGUUAAAGUGUAAAGUGGAUCUUAAAUAGUUUAGUCCCAACACUUCCCUGGUUGAGUAGAGUUACAACGUUUACAGACGAGAAACAGAUUUACUCCAUUUUUCACAUUAUAUCUUCUUUUCUCCUGCUUUACUCCAGUCUUCUCCGGAUUACUGCAGGAGGAGACCGUUUUUAGAAGGCACUGCAGAGGGCUAGUGUUUGGUUCUGUGGUUCUGAAAAGAUUUUGAGGGUUUCUACUACACAAGACACUACUCUUUCUGCAACAGUCCCACUGCUUUGGACAGAACUGAAUGCUGUCCUGUUCCAGGUCUCCAGACCCUAGUGUCGACUUUCCAAACUGUUUAAAAUUUAGUUACAGAAAAACACUCAACCAGAACAUUUUACAAAGAAGUUAAACUACUUGAAGAGGGGAAGUACGUGAAAUCCACAGAAAUCUCCAAUACUCAGCAAACAUUCUCUCCUACCCCUCCUAA